UACGAAGGGGGCUAGCGUUGUUCGGAUUUACUGGGCGUAAAGCGCACGUAGGCGGAUCGUUAAGUUAGGGGUGAAAUCCUAGGGCUCAACCCUGGAACUGCCUUUAAUACUGGCGAUCUAGAGUCCGGAAGAGGUGAGUGGAACUCCUAGUGUAGAGGUGGAAUUCGUAGAUAUUAGGAAGAACACCAGUGGCGAAGGCGGCUCACUGGUCCGGUACUGACGCUGAGGUGCGAAAGCGUGGGGAGCAAACAGG
Molecule: ribosomal RNA, 253 nt
Filed under: uncultured bacterium
Lineage: Bacteria
Description: partial 16S ribosomal RNA
Rfam family: Bacterial small subunit ribosomal RNA
Source: RNAcentral